Molecule: non-coding RNA, 486 nt
Organism: Camellia sinensis
Lineage: Eukaryota; Viridiplantae; Streptophyta; Magnoliopsida; Ericales; Theaceae
Source: RefSeq, a predicted model, not a curated record
AUAUAUUAACCCUAGGGAUCCUGUAUACCCAACCCAUCACAACUCAUCAAUGGCGCCUGAGAUGAGAAGCUGCAGCAUCAACCAAGAUGACGAUGAAGAUGGAGUCUUGAAAAUUCCAUUGAUUAAAUCAGCGGAUAAGCGAUUUUACCAGAGUAUUGAUGAUUUCUUGUGCUUUGCCUUGUAAGCCCGUCUAUGACGCUCCACAUCCAAGUGCUCUAGCCAAGCCGGACCCAAAUUUGAAAAGGGCGGGCGGCUGCGGGCGUUAUGACAUCCUUACUACCUACCAGCUUUGGCAUGAUAUGCAUUCUUAGAUGAAGAAUGAAGGGCUACAUUCAAAGUUUCCAGGCCAAACUGCAAAAAUGAAAUUGGGAUUAAGCAAACCAAUUGAUCAUGCAAAAUAAAUGCAUCAUUGGUCUUGUUCUCUCAAAUUUGGCACUUUGGAAGCAUUCUCAUUGGUUGUGUAUUAAAAAUAUUUGUUAAAGUGCA